UACAGAAGUCUCGAGCGUUGUUCGGAUUCAUUGGGCGUAAAGGGUGCGUAGGCGGCGCCGUAAGUCGGGUGUGAAAUUUCGGAGCUUAACUCCGAAACUGCAUUCGAUACUGCGGUGCUUGAGGACUGGAGAGGAGACUGGAAUUCAUGGUGUAGCAGUGAAAUGCGUAGAGAUCAUGAGGAAGACCAGUGGCGAAGGCGGGUCUCUGGACAGUUCCUGACACUGAGGCACGAAGGCCAGGGGAGCAAACGGG
This 253-nucleotide ribosomal RNA is filed under the name uncultured bacterium. RNAcentral describes it as "partial 16S ribosomal RNA". It matches the Rfam family "Bacterial small subunit ribosomal RNA", at positions 524 to 776 of the family's 1533-position model. The record is from RNAcentral.